Molecule: non-coding RNA, 681 nt
Organism: Sus scrofa (pig)
Lineage: Eukaryota; Metazoa; Chordata; Mammalia; Artiodactyla; Suidae
Source: RefSeq, a predicted model, not a curated record
CAAGCCUAGCUCAGAAGGCAUUGCAUAUUUUCCUCUGACUCACACACUCUGCCAUUACCAUGAGAACAUGCCUGGGUUAGCUGCCUGCAGAGCAAAAAUAGCAAAACCAAGUCAUCUCCGUUACCCCAAUGGGGGCCAACCCAGAGUAGCCAAUAAGACACCAAUCUUUGUACAUAUGGAGAUAAUGCCCAGUGGAGAGAGAAAACCCAUGAUGUGGAUAUAUAGAAAACUAGAAAUUUGCUCCAUUUCUGAAAGCAACUAAUGAAGUCAUCUUUGGGAAGAAACAGAGCAAUGAAGAUAUUCAUCACACAAUUUGAAUGAACAGUGACUGGUGUCUGGGCUCUUCUCCAGCAUGGUUUUUCUCAAGUAGGAUUGCAGGAUCAACAGAAUGUGCCCUAAAGUUUGCUGAAGAUGACCAGUUCCAGUUCCAAAAAGUGCUUCACAUCCACUCUCAUAAGCAAAGGUGUCCAGACUAGUCCAGAGGAUGCAAACGGCAGGUGAGAUCAAAGACCCCUGAGUCUGAUGUGAAAGGUUGGAUGUGGCUGAGAAAGAAGUGUGGAAAGGGGAGUAGGUAUUUGUGAAGAGCUGCAACAGAGGAAGCAAGAAUAUUUAUGGUUGAAUUUCCCCAGAAGACAAAAAUAGGAAAAACCUAUUUUUUAAGUUGCAAAAAAAAAAAAAAAA